Lyophyllum atratum is the source of this 82-nucleotide non-coding RNA. The record is from the annotation of a GenBank genome assembly. Lineage: Eukaryota; Fungi; Basidiomycota; Agaricomycetes; Agaricales; Lyophyllaceae.
GUCUCGAUAGCUCAGUGGUAGAGCAUGCGAUUGCAGCUUACCUCAUAUCGCAGGGUCCGGUGUUCGAACCACCGUCGGGACU